AAUCAACGCUGGCGGCGUGCCUAACACAUGCAAGUCGAACGCGAAAGUCCCGCAAGGGGCAAGUAGAGUGGCGCACGGGUGAGUAACACGUGGAUAACCUGCCUUCGAGUGAGGAAUAACCUUCCGAAAGGAGGGCUAAUACCGCAUAACACCUUGAGACAAAAGUCUCGAGGUUAAAAGGAGCAAUUCGCUUGAAGAGGGGUCCGCGCCUGAUUAGCUAGUUGGUGAGGUAACGGCNCACCAAGGCUAUGAUCAGUAGCCGUCCUGAGAGGGAGCACGGCCACACUGGAACUGAGACACGGUCCAGACUCCUACGGGAGGCAGCAGUGGGGAAUUUUUGGCAAUGGGCGAAAGCCUGACCAAGCAACGCCGCGUGGGUGAUGAAGUAUCUUGGUACGUAAAACCCUUUCGGCAGGAACGAACACAAUGACGGUACCUGCGGAAGAAGCCCCGGCUAACUCCGUGCCAGCAGCCG
Molecule: ribosomal RNA, 475 nt
Filed under: uncultured bacterium
Lineage: Bacteria
Description: bacterial SSU rRNA
Rfam family: Bacterial small subunit ribosomal RNA
Source: RNAcentral